UGGGGAAUAUUGCACAAUGGGCGAAAGCCUGAUGCAGCCAUGCCGCGUGUGUGAAGAAGGCCUUAGGGUUGUAAAGCACUUUCAGCGAGGAGGAAAGGGGGUAGGUUAAUACCUUAUCUCUGUGACGUUACUCGUAGAAGAAGCACCGGCUAACUCCGUGCCAGCAGCCGCGGUAAUACGGAGGGUGCGAGCGUUAAUCGGAAUUACUGGGCGUAAAGCGUGCGUAGGCGGCUACUUAAGUUGGAUGUGAAAGCCCUGGGCUCAACCUGGGAACUGCAUCCAGAACUGGGUGGCUAGAGUGCGAGAGAGGAGUGUGGAAUUUCCUGUGUAGCGGUGAAAUGCGUAGAUAUAGGAAGGAACACCAGUGGCGAAGGCGACACUCUGGCUUGACACUGACGCUGAGGUACGAAAGCGUGGGGAGCAAACAGGAUUAGAUACCCUGGUAGUCCACGCCGUAAACGAUGUCUACUAGUUGUCGGUUGUCUUGUACGACUGGUAACGCAGCUAACGCGAUAAGUAGACCGCCUGGGGAGUACGGCCGCAAGGUUA
RNAcentral lists this ribosomal RNA (549 nucleotides) under uncultured bacterium. RNAcentral describes it as "bacterial SSU rRNA". It matches the Rfam family "Bacterial small subunit ribosomal RNA", at positions 355 to 896 of the family's 1533-position model. The record is from RNAcentral.